Molecule: ribosomal RNA, 378 nt
Filed under: uncultured bacterium
Lineage: Bacteria
Description: bacterial SSU rRNA
Rfam family: Bacterial small subunit ribosomal RNA
Source: RNAcentral
AAUCAACGCUGGCGGCAUGCCUAACACAUGCAAGUCGAACGGGAAAGUGGGAGCAAUCCCAUGAGUAUAGUGGCGCACGGGUGAGUAACACGUGACUAACCUACCCUCGAGUGGGGAAUAACCCCGGGAACCGGGGCUAACACCGCAUAAUACCGCAAGGUCAAAUGCGCAAGCAGCUUGAGGAGGGGGUCGCGGUUGAUUAGCUAGUUGGUAGGGUAAUGGCCUACCAAGGCAGNGAUCAAUAGCCGGCCUGAGAGGGCGCACGGCCACACUGGAACUGAAACACGGUCCAGACUCCUACGGGAGGCAGCAGUGGGGAAUUUUGCGCAAUGGGGGAAACCCUGACGCAGCAAUGCCGCGUGGAGGAUGAAGUCCUUU